GGCAGUGAUGGGCUGGAUGUGGGCCAAGAAAUUGAAUCCUGAAAAGACAGGUGUGUUAUGUGUUCCAAGUUAUCAAAUGUGGGAAAAGAGUGUUUUCUGGAUAGCGGUUACACUCCCCACUUUCUGGAUAGCGGUUACACUCCCCUGAAAGGAGCAGGGGUUCAGGCGGCCUUGGUAGUUCAGAGUGCCUAUUUCCAGCUAUGGCUGGUUCACCAGCUAUGAUUCCUUUUAGGCAGAGAUGAUUUAGCCAUGGUGUUCCACACUCUAGUUAAACUUCCAGAUUGGAUUAUUGUAAUCCUGUGUACACGAGGCUGACCUUGACUCAGAACUUGAACUGGUCUAAAAUGCAAUGGCCAGGUUGCUAGCUAGGGUUGCCUUUAGAAUUCACAUAAGCCAUUUUAAGGCAGCUGCACCAAAUGCCUGUAUGUUUCUGGGCCCAAUUUAAGGUGCUCAUGCUACUGUUUAAAGCCCUAAAAGACUUAGGACCCAGAUAGCUGCAAAGGCCACUGCCUCCCUAGAGACCCUGCUUAGUGUUAAGAUUUGCAUUGGGGGCCCUCUUAGUAGUUCCACCUCUCUCAGCAGUUUUGGGGUAGUGCCUCUGUGGGAUAUUUACAACGCAGUCAAACCAAUGAUGUAUGUUUGCUAGACAGGCACAUGAUAGGGGCUGAAGCUCAAAGAGUUUUCCUGUAAGUUUGCUAGAGAGAACUCUGAGAGCCACUGUGUCCUUUUCUCACCUCAUUCCAGCAACGUGAGAACAUAUGCUGAGUCUGAGGCACAGGUCAGACUCCAUUUUAAACUGGACUAAAGUAUGUCGUCGUAACUGGAUUACCAUUUUAAGCCUGCCUGAACAAAGCCGCUGCGUCUGUUACUCUUCAACAAGUAUUCUGAGUGAGUAAACGUCAUUUUUACUAUUUACAAGAUUGUUUAUGUGGUUAUUGUUUUCAGGAGGAAAAUACCAGGAGAAUCCAGCCUGCCUUAAAACAUCCUGAAUGACUUAAAUUAAAAGGCUAAAACUAGCCUAUCUAAGCUUCCCUUCUAAGCUGCAAAGGAAUGCACUCUGCUGAACUCACAAACAUGAGGAAGGAAGGAUAAUAUCUAAUAAAUAUAUCCUCCCUUAGCAUCUAUACACAUCCCUAUAGCCACCAGACAAGGCAUUCUCUGUGGUAGCCCCUAAGUUGGGGAAUUCCCUCCACACAGGUGUGUGUCUGGCAAAUUCACAAAAUAACUUUUGGCGAUACUGAAAAUGCCCCUUUUACCCUGGGCCUUGACACCUGAGAUGUGUGUUUUCAGAACUUACCUGUUUCCUGUGACUGUAAUCCAUUUUAAAUGCUUUUAAUUCUGAUUUUAAUUUAUGCUGAAAACCACCCUGGGAUCUGCUAGUGAUAGGUGGGUAAUAUUAAUAGUACAACAAAUACAACAAGCAAACCAAUGCACCAUUGGGAAUAAGCUCUGUGGAAUAUAGCACGACUCAGUUGUGAGUAAAUAAUACUGUAAUAAUAAUAAUACUGGACAGGCUGUAAGGCUUUUCUAAAUAAUAUAGAGAUCAGUGUUUAAAAUUUAACAUUCUAAAGUUAACAAAAAAGUUUCUAUCACGUUGCAGUUUCUCUUGAAAUUUCCAGAUAAUUCUGACAUAGUGAGCAUAUUCUGCUAGUAAUAUUUGAAUGCAAUACAUUAAUUUCUUUUCAUCAUCUGAGCUGUCUCUAGAAGCAGAUCAUAAAACUACCCCACUAGCAAACAAGCCUAGAGCAAACAUUUACAGUAUUUCCCAUACUCAUUUUAAUUUUUGAUACACAAAGAGAUCAGAUCUUUAUUUUUUGUUAUGCCUGACAGAGCUCUAUGUCUGCUGGUGAAGUUUGUGUGUGUGUGUGAUUUUUGGCUUUCUCUGUCCCUGGUGAGCACUGCUGCCACAUUUUAACUUGAACUCAUGGUCACCUGAUACUUGACCUCUCACCCUGUGACCUCAUUUCCAAUAGGGCUUUAAGCUGGGGGAUUUAAGACUGUGGCACAAAGACAGUUACUUAAGGAAAGCAGGCCACUGUUUCAGUCAAUGUCCUCUUAUAUCCCUGACACUUUUUACUAAAAUAUUUAACCUUCAACACUAGAGGAGAUGACAUUAACUUUUAUUUUUCUUGGUUUUGAGAGUAUGACCUUUUCUGUCAUGAUUUUUUACUCACUUCCCAUCCACCACUGAAGAAGAAUCUGUAAAGGUAUACCCCAAAACAGAAGGAAGCAUUUAGUGAACAAUUAAAAUUAGGGAAACUUAGGAAGAAAUUUUGGGUAUUAAUCAUAGUGUAUUUAAAAGGGCUUUGGGUAGUCUGCCUUCUAACCCUUUCAUCUUCUCCACACUUCGACUUGUAUGAGAUUGUAAGCCUAUGGACAGGGUUUGUUUCUUUGUUCACUUUUGCAAAAUCUCAACGUUCUAUUCAAAAUAAUAUAGUGAUUCCAGUUCUAAAUCAGGGAUAAAGAGCUGUUCAAAAUGGCACAGAUCCUGUAUUGUCUCACAGCCAUUAAAAAUGAAACACUAUGAAAUGUAAACAAAAGUAAGAAUUCUCUGCAAGAAAAAUAACGCACAGGUGAAUGAGGAGAGUAUUUGACCACCGUUAUCCACUUAAUUGCACUUCACAAUACAUUUACAGCCUGCCUUACCAGUAAAGGAGUAUCAAGUAUCUGUGCUGCCAUAAGGAAGACUCCAAUUUGGGAGCAGACAAGUUGCUUCAGGGCUGGUGGAAGAGCAAAAACUGCAAAGGUAAGAUGCUGGUACCAGGGGGAAACUCGACUGUUCAGUUCUGUAGUAUCCCUGCAGAGUUGGAGUAUGCAGUUUUUUCCAUCUCAGCACUGAAUGAAGCCGUUCUGACACACUGCAAGGUAGAAGGAAGAAUAAGAUUAAAGCACAAAGACAGAAAACUGCUGAUAGAGGGUGAGGCACACGAAAGCGACGAAAAAGGAAUGGACAGGUUACCCCAUUGACUUCCCCUAUGCCGGCUGUAUUUGCUGCGUAGACAGAAGUGCUAACACAUGUGAAUUUAACCUGAUGGUGUCAUAUUUGUACAAUGAGGAAUGUCAAGGCUGAAGCCCACUUGGAAGCAGAACCGCCAAGCAGAGCUUAAUUUCUGAAAUAAGAAAGUGACUGAGCUCAUGCUCUCUGACCUGGAAGUCCUUAACCCAAAUUGCAGUUGCGGGGUGGGAGUAAUACCAACGGCCAGUGGAGAGGAAAAGACAGACACUUUGCAUAUGCUGUCUUGCUCUCUCUUGUUGUUUCAUGACUGAGGUGGGGGAAAGUUCUGGGUUCAGAUUUAGCUCAGCUUCUCACCCAAUAAGCCUUGUUCCUUCAUCUCAAUUUGUUUUCACGAGUUACUCGUUUUAGGCUAGUCUAGUUUAUGAAUGAUCUCAAUAAAAGGUAGAAAACAAAGUAAAGUCUGUGGACAAUAUAGCUUUUUAAUUUGAUUCCCCCCUCCCCCAUACACACAGAC
Molecule: non-coding RNA, 3470 nt
Organism: Podarcis lilfordi (Lilford's wall lizard)
Lineage: Eukaryota; Metazoa; Chordata; Lepidosauria; Squamata; Lacertidae
Source: the annotation of a GenBank genome assembly